Molecule: long non-coding RNA, 1307 nt
Filed under: Ananas comosus (pineapple)
Lineage: Eukaryota; Viridiplantae; Streptophyta; Magnoliopsida; Poales; Bromeliaceae
Description: long non-coding RNA (ACOM_LNC008794)
Source: RNAcentral
UUUAGAAUUUGAUCAAGUUUGAACAUGAUUGUGAUUUGACUCUAGUUUUAUAUGCUAGAGAAUCGAAUAUUUUGGGAAUUGGGAUGUUCGUGAAAAUUGAACUUGAGUUUAGUUUAACGACAUUUCGGUCGAUUGAUUUAGGUUUAGUUUAACGACGUUUCGAUCGGUUGAUUUGGUGGAGUAGUUUAACGACGUUUCGGUCAAAGGUUUGGGUUUGGUUCACAAGGUUUAUGGUAUUGGGUAUAUGGGAUUAUGGUUCAUGAACUUAGAUAUGGGUUUAUGGUUCAUGAACUUAUGGUUUAUGGGUUUAUGGUUCAUGGGUUUAUGGUUCAUGGACUUAUGGUUCAUGGACUUAUGGUUCAUGGGUUUGGUUCAUGGACUUAUAGUUCAUGGACUUAUGGUUCAUGGACUUAUGGUUCAUGGGUUUGGUGUAUGGUUUGUGGUUUAUGAUCCCUGGCUCAUGAACUUGAUUUGAUUCAUGAACUUGAUUCAUAGUUCGUGAAUUUGGUGUAUGGUAUGGUCCACAGGAUUUGGUGUAUGGUUUGGUCCAUGGUUUUGGUUUAAAGUUCAUGGACUUGGUUAAGGUUAUGGUCUUGGAAAUGGAUUAAAUGUGUAUGGGUUCAUGGGUAAAUGUAUAUAGGUUUAUGUAUAUGGGUUUAUGGGUUUUGGAUAAUGGGCUUAGAUAGUGGGCCCAAAUGGGUUUUGGACUGGGGCCAUUUGUAAAUGGGCUCUGGGCUUUGGACUAGGCCUAGAUUUAAUUGGAUUGGGUUAUAGGUUAUGGGUUUAGAAUUGGGCUAAGGUUUAAUUGGAUUAGGUUAUAGGAUUGGGUUAUAGGUAACGGUUAAUGGAUUUUGAGUGAGGUUAAGGUUAAUGGGUUUAGAUUAGAUUGGGUUAAAUGGGUUUAGAGUCAAAGUGUUGAUUUAAUACGGAUGGGUUGAGGUUCAAUGACUUAGGUCCAUAUGAUCGGGCCUAGAUUCAUGUCUCGAGGUUUUAUUAAAAAAAAAUGUUUUGAUCAAUUAAGAUUUUCAUAUACAUUUUCUUCAAAUUCUGGAUUUGAAUAACAAAUUAAAUUUCAAUUUAAUUUGAAGUGUCUAAUGUGAUUUUGUCAAAGCUCUCUCUCUCUUUUAGAGUGAUCUCUCUUUUUGGUGAUAUUUUGCAAAGAGCACCAUCGAUGUUCAUCUCGGCAUUCCAUCGAGCGGUUUGAUUAGCACGUCGACGACGAAGUAUUUCGUCGAAUGAUUGGUCGGUAAAUGAGAGCAUCGCUCUCUUUAUGAUUCGCCACCGAGCAAUUAGCGGGCGAACUUUGU